RNAcentral lists this ribosomal RNA (253 nucleotides) under uncultured bacterium. Its description in RNAcentral is "partial 16S ribosomal RNA". It matches the Rfam family "Bacterial small subunit ribosomal RNA", at positions 524 to 776 of the family's 1533-position model. The record is from RNAcentral.
UACGAAGGGGGCUAGCGUUGCUCGGAAUCACUGGGCGUAAAGGGUGCGUAGGCGGGUCUUUAAGUCAGGGGUGAAAUCCUGGAGCUCAACUCCAGAACUGCCUUUGAUACUGAAGAUCUUGAGUUCGGGAGAGGUGAGUGGAACUGCGAGUGUAGAGGUGAAAUUCGUAGAUAUUUGCAAGAACACCAGUGGCGAAGGCGGCUCACUGGCCCGAUACUGACGCUGAGGCACGAAAGCGUGGGGAGCAAACGGG